This 254-nucleotide ribosomal RNA is filed under the name uncultured bacterium. Its description in RNAcentral is "partial 16S ribosomal RNA". It matches the Rfam family "Bacterial small subunit ribosomal RNA", at positions 524 to 776 of the family's 1533-position model. The record is from RNAcentral.
UACGUAGGGUGCGAGCGUUGUCCGGAAUUAUUGGGCGUAAAGAGCUCGUAGGCGGUGUGUCGCGUCGGCCGUGAAAACCUGCAGCUUAACUGUGGGCUUGCGGUCGAUACGGGCAUCACUGGAGUUCGGCAGGGGAGACUGGAAUUCCUGGUGUAACGGUGAAAUGCGCAGAUAUCAGGAGGAACACCGGUGGCGAAGGCGGGUCUCUGGGCCGAUACUGACGCUGAGGAGCGAAAGCGUGGGGAGCGAACAGG